GCUCCCGUGGUGAAACGGAUAUCACGGCGGUCUUCGGAACCGUUGUUCUAGGUUCGAAUCCUGGCGGGAGCA
RNAcentral lists this transfer RNA (72 nucleotides) under Candidatus Kaiserbacteria bacterium. RNAcentral's name for it is "tRNA-Arg". It matches the Rfam family "tRNA". From Rfam's summary of the family: Transfer RNA (tRNA) molecules are approximately 80 nucleotides in length. Their secondary structure includes four short double-helical elements and three loops (D, anti-codon, and T loops). Lineage: Bacteria; Candidatus Kaiseribacteriota. The record is from RNAcentral.